This 473-nucleotide ribosomal RNA is filed under the name uncultured bacterium. Its description in RNAcentral is "bacterial SSU rRNA". It matches the Rfam family "Bacterial small subunit ribosomal RNA", at positions 335 to 801 of the family's 1533-position model. The record is from RNAcentral.
ACUCCUACGGGAGGCAGCAGUAGGGAAUCUUCCACAAUGGGCGCAAGCCUGAUGGAGCAACACCGCGUGAGUGAAGAAGGGUUUCGGCUCGUAAAGCUCUGUUGUUAAAGAAGAACACGUAUGAGAGUAACUGUUCAUACGUUGACGGUAUUUAACCAGAAAGUCACGGCUAACUACGUGCCAGCAGCCGCGGUAAUACGUAGGUGGCAAGCGUUAUCCGGAUUUAUUGGGCGUAAAGAGAGUGCAGGCGGUUUUCUAAGUCUGAUGUGAAAGCCUUCGGCUUAACCGGAGAAGUGCAUCGGAAACUGGGUAACUUGAGUGCAGAAGAGGGUAGUGGAACUCCAUGUGUAGCGGUGGAAUGCGUAGAUAUAUGGAAGAGCACCAGUGGCGAAGGCGGCUACCUGGUCUGCAACUGACGCUGAGACUCGAAAGCAUGGGUAGCGAACAGGAUUAGAUACCCUGGUAGGAUAGCG